This 1005-nucleotide long non-coding RNA is filed under the name Microcebus murinus (gray mouse lemur). Its description in RNAcentral is "lncRNA (ENSMICG00000048832.1)". The record is from RNAcentral. Lineage: Eukaryota; Metazoa; Chordata; Mammalia; Primates; Cheirogaleidae.
GUUUAAAAAGUAAAUUUCCCCCCGCCCCCACCCCACCACCAGUACCAGCAGCAAUGCUCCCGGGUAGAACUAGCCAUCAGAAGAAUGGAAACCCCUUUCCCUCUGCAGCAAUCCGGUCUGCCUCCCCAGCUCACAAAUGUGCUGUGCUCAGCAUUUCUGUGCUGAUGCAGCAUGGAGGGUAGAAAAGGCAGGGGCGGCCGCAGCAGCCGCUGCAGCAGUUGCUCUAGGGGGUGGAAAGCAGCUUGCACCAUCUCUACCUCAUUUGGCAGCAGAAGCACCGAGUCUCAAGGAGGAUGAAGUUCUAGUCCUUAAGCAGCUGGGCUAUGUCAUUCUAAAGGUGAUCUCCUGCCUUGGGUUGGGCUGGCUGAAUCGCUGGGGACGGCCACCAGUCUCUUAUAACGGAGAACAAAAAGACGAAGACCCUGUGGGGACGCCGGGACAAAGCGCCUCCGGCUUGGCGAGGGGGACCGCAGGAGCGCUGGCUCCGGGCACGCGCGAUCGCUGCUGAAGGGCGUCCGCCCGGCGCGCGGACCUCUGCGGCCGCAUUAUACACGAGUGACCUUUUAAAUCUACGUCCACCCUUUACCUGGUAAAGCCCGCUGACAGUUGGGGGUGGGGUGGGGUGGGGAGUGUAGGGGUGUUCUCUCUCUCUCUCUCCUCCCUCCCUCUGUCUCUCCUCCCUCGCUCCCCCCUUCACUCUCUCUUCCUCCCUCCCACCUCCCUCACUCCCUCCCUCCCUGCUGCAUUUUGCAUGAGCUAUCUAGGUCAUUAGCAUUUUAGCGUAUGCAAGACUUGACAAAGCUGACGAGGGGCCAGAUGGGCCUCGCUCUUAUGGGUUUUUUUUCCCUCUCUCUCUCCUCUCCCUCUCCUUUCCUUUUUCCCCUCCACCACUUGGGACCCGAGCGCGAGGACUGCAGCAGGCGAGUUCCGGAAGGCUGAUUCCCGAGAUCCCGGCCCCGGACCCGCAGCCGCCCUGCGGCACGCCCGGACCCCGCCGGCGGCGAG